GGCUUAACCGGAGAAGUGCAUCGGAAACUGGGAGACUUGAGUGCAGAAGAGGGCAGUGGAACUCCAUGUGUAGCGGUGGAAUGCGUAGAUAUAUGGAAGAACACCAGUGGCGAAGGCGGCUGUCUAGUCUGUAACUGACGCUGAGGCUCGAAAGCAUGGGUAGCGAACAGGAUUAGAUACCCUGGUAGUCCAUGCCGUAAACGAUGAGUGCUAAGUGUUGGAGGGUUUCCGCCCUUCAGUGCUGCAGCUAACGCAUUAAGCACUCCGCCUGGGGAGUACGACCGCAAGGUUGAAACUCAAAGGAAUUGACGGGGGCCCGCACAAGCGGUGGAGCAUGUGGUUUAAUUGGAAGAUACGCGAAGAACCUUACCAGGUCUUGACAUCUUCUGCCAAUCUUAGAGAUAAGACGUUCCCUUCGGGGACAGAAUGACAGGUGGUGCAUGGUUGUCGUCAGCUCGUGUCGUGAGAUGUUGGGUUAAGUCCCGCAACGAGCGCAACCCUUAUUAUCAGUUGCCAGCAUUCAGUUGGGCAUUUUGGUGAGACUGCCGGUGACAAACCGGAGGAAGGUGGGGAUGACGUCAAAUCAUCAUGCCCCUUAUGACCUGGGCUACACACGUGUUCCAAUGGACGGUACAACGAGUCGCGAAGUCGUGAGGCUAAGCUAAUUUCUUAAAGCCGUUUUCAGUUCGGAUUGUAGGCUGCAAUUCGCCUCCAGGAAGUUGGAAUCGCUAGUAAUCGCGGAUCAGCAUGCCGCGGUGAAUACGUUCCCGGGCCUUGUACACACCGCCCGUCACACCAUGAGAGUUUGUAACACCCAAAGCCGGUGAGAUAACCUUCGGGAGUCAGCCGUC
Molecule: ribosomal RNA, 851 nt
Filed under: Levilactobacillus brevis
Lineage: Bacteria; Bacillati; Bacillota; Bacilli; Lactobacillales; Lactobacillaceae
Description: bacterial SSU rRNA
Rfam family: Bacterial small subunit ribosomal RNA
Source: RNAcentral